This 250-nucleotide ribosomal RNA is filed under the name uncultured bacterium. RNAcentral describes it as "partial 16S ribosomal RNA". It matches the Rfam family "Bacterial small subunit ribosomal RNA", at positions 524 to 774 of the family's 1533-position model. The record is from RNAcentral.
UACGUAGGGGGCUAGCGUUGUCCGGAUUUACUGGGCGUAAAGGGUGAGUAGGCGGUAAUGUAUGUCAGGUGUAAAAGGCACAGGCUUAACUUGUGUAAGCACUUGAAACUGCAUUACUUGAGUGCAGGAGAGGUAAGUGGAAUUCCUAGUGUAGCGGUGAAAUGCGUAGAUAUUAGGAGGGACACCAGUGGCGAAGGCGACUUACUGGACUGUAACUGACACUGAGGCACGAAAGCGUGGGGAGCAAACA